Molecule: ribosomal RNA, 422 nt
Filed under: uncultured bacterium
Lineage: Bacteria
Description: bacterial SSU rRNA
Rfam family: Bacterial small subunit ribosomal RNA
Source: RNAcentral
UAGGGAAUAUUGGACAAUGGAGGCAACUCUGAUCCAGCCAUGCCGCGUGAAGGAAUAAGGCCCUAUGGGUUGUAAACUUCUUUUAGACGGGACAAAACCCCUUUACGUGUAAAGGGUUGAUGGUACUGUCAGAAUAAGCAUCGGCUAACUUAGUGCCAGCAGCCGCGGUAAUACGAAGGAUGCAAGCGUUAUCCGGAAUUAUUGGGUUUAAAGGGUGCGUAGGCGGACUAAUAAGUCAGUGGUGAAAGCCUGCAGCUUAACUGCAGAAUUGCCAUUGAUACUGUUAGUCUUGAGUACAGUUGAGGUAGGCGGAAUGUGUCAUGUAGCGGUGAAAUGCUUAGAUAUGACACAGAACACCGAUUGCGAAGGCAGCUUGCUAAGCUGUAACUGACGCUGAGGCACGAAAGCGUGGGGAGCAAACA